CCUACGGGAGGCAGCAGUGGGGAAUAUUGCACAAUGGGCGAAAGCCUGAUGCAGCAACGCCGCGUGAGCGAUGAAGGCUUUCGGCUCGUAAAGCACUAUCCUCAAGGAAGAUAAUGACGGUACUUGAGCAAGAAUCCCCGGCUAACUACGUGCCAGCAGCCGCGGUAAUACGUAGGGGGCUAGCGUUAUCCGGAAUUACUGGGGGUAAAGGGUGUGUAGGUGGAUUGUUAAGUCAGAGGUGAAAGGCUAGGGCUCAACCGUAGUAAGCCUUUGAAACUGGGAGACUUGAGUGCAGGAGAGGAGAGUGGAAUUCCUAGUGUAGCGGUGAAAUGCGUAGAUAUUAGGAGGAACACCAGUGGCGAAGGCGGCUUGCUGGACUGUAACUGACACUGAGGCACGAAGGCGUGGGGAGCAAACAGGAUUAGAUACCCUGGUAGUC
Molecule: ribosomal RNA, 439 nt
Filed under: uncultured bacterium
Lineage: Bacteria
Description: partial 16S ribosomal RNA
Rfam family: Bacterial small subunit ribosomal RNA
Source: RNAcentral